Molecule: ribosomal RNA, 255 nt
Filed under: uncultured bacterium
Lineage: Bacteria
Description: partial 16S ribosomal RNA
Rfam family: Bacterial small subunit ribosomal RNA
Source: RNAcentral
UAGCUAGUAGGUGGGGUAAUGGCUCACCUAGGCGACGAUCCCUAGCUGGUCUGAGAGGAUGACCAGCCACACUGGAACUGAGACACGGUCCAGACUCCUACGGGAGGCAGCAGUGGGGAAUAUUGCACAAUGGGCGCAAGCCUGAUGCAGCCAUGCCGCGUGUAUGAAGAAGGCCUUCGGGUUGUAAAGUACUUUCAGCGAGGAGGAAGGUGUUGAGGUUAAUAACCUCAGCAAAGACGCUCUCGCAGAAGAAGC